This 490-nucleotide ribosomal RNA is filed under the name uncultured bacterium. RNAcentral's name for it is "partial 16S ribosomal RNA". It matches the Rfam family "Bacterial small subunit ribosomal RNA", at positions 30 to 507 of the family's 1533-position model. The record is from RNAcentral.
AUUGAACGCUGGCGGCAGGCCUAACACAUGCAAGUCGAAUGGUAACAGGAAACAGCUUGCUGUUUCGCUGACGAGUGGCGGACGGGUGAGUAAUGUCUGGGAAACUGCCUGAUGGAGGGGGAUAACUACUGGAAACGGUAGCUAAUACCGCAUAACGUCGCAAGACCAAAGAGGGGGACCUUCGGGCCUCUUGCCAUCAGAUGUGCCCAGAUGGGAUUAGCUGGUAGGUGGGGUAACGGCUCACCUAGGCGACGAUCCCUAGCUGGUCUGAGAGGAUGACCAGCCACACUGGAACUGAGACACGGUCCAGACUCCUACGGGAGGCAGCAGUGGGGAAUAUUGCACAAUGGGCGCAAGCCUGAUGCAGCCAUGCCGCGUGUAUGAAGAAGGCCUUCGGGUUGUAAAGUACUUUCAGCGGGGAGGAAGGGAGUAAAGUUAAUACCUUUGCUCAUUGACGUUACCCGCAGAAGAAGCACCGGCUAACUCCGUG